AGAAUGACCACAACCUCUUCAGUAGAAGGUAAACAGAAUCUGGUGAUUAUGGGUAAGAAAACCUGGUUCUCCAUUCCUGAGAAGAAUCGACCUUUAAAGGAUAGAAUUAAUUUAGUUCUCAGCAGAGAACUCAAGUAAGUACCUUAACAUAAAUUCACCACAAGAAAAUCAUGUCUCAUAGUGGAGAUCAGUAUAUGAUAAAAUGAAAUUGUAUAAAAGGAGCUAUUGAUGAAGCUGCUUAAUAUCACAAAGGUGAUUAUAGAAAAUUAAUAAGCAGUUAUUUAUACUACAUGACAAUAACUUAUUCCACUACCUGAGUAAUUCAUUUCAUCACCUUGAAAAGUUACAUUAAAUAGCUCACUGUGGUAUCAGAUUUGCAAGUUAUCUUGAACCAUCAUUCAGUAGGCCCAAAUAUAAAUUAUACAGUGUAAUCAAUAACUUGUAGUUUCACAUAAAGUUAAAAAAACUAUUUUUUGGGACUUGCUAAAAUUAAGUGAUGAUCCCCUUUCUGGACCCAACCCUAAAUGCAAUAAAAUGUGAAUUUUAGGUUGGGCUGAAAUGGGUCAUAAUCUUCU
This 575-nucleotide small RNA is filed under the name Pongo abelii (Sumatran orangutan). RNAcentral's name for it is "retained intron". The record is from RNAcentral. Lineage: Eukaryota; Metazoa; Chordata; Mammalia; Primates; Hominidae.